GGGGCUGUAACGGUUUCGACGUUUUGACGAAAGUCAUUCUGUGAUUCAGGCCGAGAGGGAGUCUACUCUCGUUAAUCCAGGCUCAAAAACAACGUAAAUGCGAACAACAUCGUUCCUUUUGCUCGUAAAGCUGCACCUGUUGCCGCUUAAUUAGACAACCUCUAGCGAGCGUCUGUAGUCUGACUCCGUUAAGGAUUACGGACAAAACCCCAACGGAAUGCUUCAACGGGCGUCCUCGGUAGGCCCGUUGACUAAGACUUUACCGAGGCAUCCUACCGUUAGGGAUUAAGUAACGGUUCCCGCCCUAAGGAUUAGAGGGGCUACGCCUGUGAAUGAGUGGAAUGUUAAUACUCAAAGCGGACACGGGUUCGACUCCCGUCAGCUCCAUUG
RNAcentral lists this transfer-messenger RNA (390 nucleotides) under Leptolyngbya sp. RL_3_1. It matches the Rfam family "transfer-messenger RNA". From Rfam's summary of the family: Bacterial tmRNA, also known as 10Sa RNA or SsrA, is named for its dual tRNA and mRNA-like properties. Its role is to liberate the mRNA from a stalled ribosome. The record is from RNAcentral. RNAcentral also lists the same sequence under 1 other name. Lineage: Bacteria; Bacillati; Cyanobacteriota; Cyanophyceae; Leptolyngbyales; Leptolyngbyaceae.